GAACUGUCAGUGCUGAAAUGCUCUCAGGCAUCCUCUACGCCACAGCCUCUACCUGAAACACAAGACAUCUGGAGCCCAGAGGAAAUUAGUCUUCAUGUGUCUUCACUGGCCUGUGCUAAUUCUCAGACUUUCCUUGUUUUCGAUGGCCUUCACAGUUUUGAGGAGGAAUGGUCAGGUGUUUUGUUGAGUGUCCCUCAAUAUAGGCACCUUUUGUUCUUUUAAAUAAGUAAUGAAGAUCCUGUAACUGAAGACUUUGUGAAUGAAAGAAAAAUGAAUAACUGAAGAUGACUGAGCUCUCAAGUUACUGAUAAUCAACCUCUUAAGAUGAAGCACAGAUUUGUGUCCAUGUGGCUUCCAGAUUGAUUGAAGAGUUGCCGCUAUGAUGAUUUACUAUUCGUCUGUUCUUUGAAUCUUGAAAUCAACAUUCAAGCAUACAAAUGCUUUUUGGAAGUUCAUUCCUCCCAGAUGACCAGAGGGGGAGACAACUUUAGGUCACCCGUCAUAGAAGUGGCCUGAGUCACAUUAUAAUUCACUCAGGAAGUAAUUUGACGGACAGUCAGAAAUGUAAAUUCUUAUGAUGGAUAAAAAGUUGCUUGACAUAUCACAGUAUCCACGUUUCUGGGGAAGAUAAAUGACCAGAAGUAUACCCACCGGUUCCUGGGAAGUGUCCACCGGUUUGACAGAUCACCCAGACCUUGUAAAGAACACAAUGAUCAUCACAGAAAUGAAGUUUAAGAUUCUUUUGGAAAUGAACACUGAAAGCAGAUAUUGAAGACUCCCGGAUGAGACUCGCAUUUGGAAUUAAAAUGAUCAGUCUGCUGCAGAUGCAGACAGCCGUAAACAUUUGACAUUUUAAAAAAGGCACCUGCCACUUUGAGAAUGCACUACACGUUUCUGGUUCCUCCUUUAGGAUGUGUGCCUUAUAAAUAGAGCCCAAGACCAAGAUUCUUAUGAAAAUGAUUUACUUGAGAAGACAGCCAUCUAUAAACCAAGAAGUGGGCUCUCACCAGACACUGAAUCCUCCAAAGACUUGAUUUUUGACUUCCCAGCCUCCAGAACUGUGAGAAAUAAAUUUGUAUGUCUACAAGCUACCCAGUCCAAAAACAUUUUUAGUAUAGCAGUCUGAAGGAACUAAGACACAAAAUGGAAAGCUAUUAGACAUAAAAUUCAUAUAACUAAAAGGAACCUCAGGAGGUCACCUUAGCUCAAGACUGUCCUUCGCAUUACUUUAUAAAUUUUAAUAUGAUCUUGUUAUUCUAUAGAAAAUGUUUCUGGAAUUUCAAUAAGAACUAUAUUAUCUGUGUAUCAGAUUGUGGAAAACUGACAUCUUUGCUAUGUUGAUUCUUCAAAUCCAAGAACAUGGAAUGAAAGAUUAUGGUGGAAGAGAAGUCAAGAAUAAUACCACAAUUUGUUAAUUUGUAUUGGUGCCAUAUGAUGUCUCAUUAACUUCUCGUUAUAAGAUUGCCAAGCAGACAUUAAAAUUGUGACAGCACAGAUGAUGGAAGUUCAGGAAGAGGAGGAACUUGCCUACACUGCCAGGGAAUGGUGGGAUCAGAUCCACAUCCAGAGAGUAACACAAGCACAGGCGAAGGUCAACAGUGGUAUAACUUCUGAAGGAAUUCAGAGAGACACUUCACCUGAAGAAGGACUGAAAAACCUAGGCAAGCAACCUCUGAUUAAAUUAUCUUUGGCAAGAAAGAAAAAAAUAGAGAGGAAGGAAGGAAGGAAGGAAGGA
Molecule: long non-coding RNA, 1735 nt
Organism: Suricata suricatta (meerkat)
Lineage: Eukaryota; Metazoa; Chordata; Mammalia; Carnivora; Herpestidae
Exons: 12
Source: RefSeq, a predicted model, not a curated record